GAACCUACGGGACGCAGCAGUGGGGAAUAUUGCACAAUGGGGGAAACCCUGAUGCAGCGACGCCGCGUGAGUGAAGAAGUAUUUCGGUAUGUAAAGCUCUAUCAGCAGGGAAGAAAAUGACGGUACCUGACUAAGAAGCCCCGGCUAACUACGUGCCAGCAGCCGCGGGAAUACGUAGGGGGCAAGCGUUAUCCGGAUUUACUGGGUGUAAAGGGAGCGUAGACGGAAAUGCAAGUCUGAGGUGAAAAUCCGGGGCCAAACCCCGGAAGUGCAUUGGAAACUGUA
Molecule: ribosomal RNA, 285 nt
Filed under: uncultured bacterium
Lineage: Bacteria
Description: partial 16S ribosomal RNA
Rfam family: Bacterial small subunit ribosomal RNA
Source: RNAcentral